This 270-nucleotide ribosomal RNA is filed under the name uncultured prokaryote. RNAcentral describes it as "partial 16S ribosomal RNA". It matches the Rfam family "Bacterial small subunit ribosomal RNA", at positions 524 to 792 of the family's 1533-position model. The record is from RNAcentral.
UACGUAGGAGGCGAGCGUUAUCCGGAUUUAUUGGGCGUAAAGCGCGUGCAGGUGGUUUGGUAAGUUGGGUAUGAAAUCUCCUGGCUUAACUAGGAGAGGUUGCUCAAAACUACCAUGACUAGAGGACGGUAGAGGAAGGUGGAAUUCCCGGUGUAGUAGUGAAAUGCGUAGAUAUCGGGAGGAACACCAGUGGCGAAGGCGGCCUUCUGGGCCGUUCCUGACACUAAGACGCGAAAGCAUGGGUAGCAAACGGGAUUAGAUACCCCCGUA